ACCAGGAGCAGGCCCACAUUCCUGGAGGAAUGCAGGGGGUGCCACUAGCAGCAUCUCCCAAGCCCAUUCAAGGCAGCCCCACAGGUUGUUUGCAGGCCUCUACUGAGAAUCUUGGUGGCACUGCCUCUCAUCCAGGGACCACAAACAAAGUCCUCCUGGGUGCAACUAGGGGCACUGGAAUGGGCAGCCCCAGAGACCUGUUCGCCCCAACUCCCAGAGGACAGUGGGGAGAGAGGUAUACCAAAAAUAGCUCCCCAACCAUGGCACAAGCCUCCAGUGGAUUCACCAAGAGGCAGCAGAGUGUACAGGGGAGAACUGUGGAUGACCUGAACCAUCUGGCCCUUGGCUAUCUUAACUGUAAAAUAGGCAUCACGAUGCCCAUACUUUACAGGGCAGUGGUGAUAAUUAUAAGAAAAAAGGUGUUUCGUUCCCUGCCUGACAUAUAGGAGGUGCUUUAAUAAUCUCUUUCUUGUCUUUCUCAUCAGUUUCAUCAGUUUCUGAUAUUAAGUCUCCAGAAAGCAGUAAAUGGGUCUAACUUGAGCCCUAAAUCCCCUUGUCCUGGGAUAACCAUCCUGGGGCCUCAGCUAGGUUUGUGGUGACCUAGGAUUAGGUUUUCUCACUGAGCGGCUUCCUGCCCCAUUCCCUUCCUGUCUCUUUUGUCUCUGGGAACCAUCUUGUCUUCCUGGUUCCCAAGAAUUGGUCUAGUACAGAUCCCACCCCAAUCCAAGGAGAAAAGGCCACACUCAAACCAGAUACUCCCCUAGUCCAGAUACCCCCCAAGACUGGCCCAGACCAGGUUUCUCAUUCCAGAGACUCGCCACAGUUACAGUGACUGGUCAAACAGUGGUGACUGACACCCAUGAGUACCAGUGAGUGAUACAGCUCUUCCCACACUGACCUGUCAAUCUCUGGUGCCUCCCACCCCCAGCACUGACAGAGGAGGGUCCUGCAGAGAGCCAACCACCUUGUCCCACAACCAACCAGCAACCACAGUCCCCUCAGCUGGGUCAGAACCGGCAACUGUCUGUGUCCCCUGUAGACUGUCUGCUCCAUAAAAAUGGAGGUCAAGUCUUUCCCGUUCACCUCUGUGCAUCAGUGCCUGGCACACAGCAGGAGAUAAAGGCUGGGGAAUGAGUGAAUUGAAUGAACAAAUGUCUGAUCUCUAGCUCCUGACUAUACACUUGCUUGGCUGCUGGGUUCUGGUUUUCUCCACUCUGAAUAAGGCCCAGCCUUUGAUCAAUAGCCUACCACCAUUUAACAGGAAGAUCCCAGUACCUGAGGGUAGAGAGAUGGGUAGAAAGCUGGGGGAAGUCACUGACCUGGCCUGCCUGCCACACCGCCAUCUCCCAGCCUCCAUGGGGUCCUCCAACCACCUCUGGGGGGGCCCUUGGAGGGAGGCCUCUAUGGGGAGGUCUAGAUGGAGUCAGAUAAUAGGAGUCAGGGGUGGGGGAUGGAGGUAGGGGAUUAUUUUGCCCCUUUAAAUAUACCCUGGCUGUGGCAGGCCAGGAUACCUCUGCUGAGUCCCAGCUGUCAGCCAUGAGGAGCCACAGCUUCGCUCCCCAGGAAGCGGGCAAUAUUGCAAUAUCAUGGCAUCAGCUCCAGCUCCCCAGCUCUGGCAUGGCCCUUAGAUUGGAUUUGGAUGUCUCCGUCCCUCAAAUCUCACUGUUCUGUCUCUGGGUCAGAGUUCCUGCCCAACCUGGCUAUGAUUCCACCCAGCCCCUUACCCUGGAACCACUUCUAGAAUGGAUUUUCUCCUUCAAGGGCCUUGAGGUGGUAGGAUGACCUCUUGGGGGUGGAGAGAGCAGGGUGUGGAGGGCAGGUCAGGCCCCUGAGGUCCAAAUGCUCCUCUCACCUGGCACAUGAGCACCAACAAGAUGCUCUAGCUCCACUGAAUGUAGAGGCCCUUUAAAUCCAAGGAGGCAAGUUUGUGUCUGGUUGUGCAGUCAGGCCUGGGACAUGGAGCCUCACUUGGUGCUUGCACAUGGUGCUUGGAAACAGAAGAAUAGGGUUAAAUACUCCUAAGGGAACCAGCGAGACAGGACCUGGAUGCUCAUUCUCCUUAUGCAAAGCCCAGGUGCUUAAGUAACUAUCCUCUCUCUCCUACAAGGAGCAGCCCAUUAAAAUCCCACCCUGUGGGCAAUGAGGUUCAAGCCACCCCUGGUUCUGCUCCAGUUAUCAAUGCUGGGGAAAGCACACCCUGCAUAAUGCCAGUGCUCCAGAGCAGCGUUGUUCAUGCCCAAGCAUGAAGGAGUCAAUCAGAUGCCUGCCCAGGAGGCACUGGUUAAGGCAGGGGGAGGGGAGGAGAACAGGGUCCCCUGGGGUGGGUUGGAGCCCGGAGGGAUGAGAAUCUCCUAUUCUGUUAUCUUCAGGAGCUGGUUAAGGUCUGCUCCAAUGUGCUGAGCCACUUCCUUGCUAUCCCCGCCCGACUUCCUUCCCACCCACAUAUCCACGCAGGAAAGAUGUGUGGCAAGCACUCAGAGAAUGCCAGGACACGGGCUGGUGGGCACGACACAGGUGAGGCGAUGAGAAGGGCCCAGGUAGACAAGAAAGAGUCUGGGAAAACAGGAUUCCCCAGUGCACACAAGGAGAAAUGGGGCAGUAAAAGGGUCAGGCAAAUCCCUACCCCGAUACCAGUGGGGGUCAGGGGAGCCCUCCAAUGUUUGGCUUUUGAGAUCCCUGCACCAAGCCUCUCUUUAAGCGCCAGAGCUAUUGCUUUCAUGGAUCUUGUUUAACUUGAGAAGGACGGGGGAGGGGGCCAAGGAAAACUGCAUUCUUCCCCAUCAAAGCCAAGAGUCUAAAGUAAUACUUCUGGUUGUAACUGAUCCAGCCUGUUUGUGAUUACGGGCCCUUUGCUUGCUUUCUGGCAGGGCAGCCCUGGAACCCCGCAGCCCAGCCGACAGGGAGAGAUACCCUCGCUCACUUGGAUAAUCUUGUCCUCAUCUGACAUAACCAAGAACGUCCAUCAGCCUCUCUGCUUUCAGCAGUUCUCCAGGGCAACUCUUCAAAACAUUAUUUUAAAAAGGAGGGGAAGCCACCCCAAACUCCUAUCAUGAAAUUCCAUGACAUUCAUCAUAUUCUUUCUGUUCCCGGCACUAUCCUAAAAACCACGAGAAGCAUCAGCUGGCCUACUGGCUAUUGCAAAUUACAAAAUCAGAUCAUCUUUUGCUUCUGCCCCACCUCCCACCCUUUUGUCAGGGGAGAAAACGCACAUGCCCCCUCACAUGCAUAUGCACACCCUUUUGCUGCCAUAGUACAGAAGUGGCUCAGGGAAGCUCAAGACUAUUUCUCAGCUGUUCCAGAAAUUUCAUCUGUGAUGCAUUUGGCUGCACAAAGCCCAUUCCAAAGGUGUUCAGGAGUCCACAAUCCCUGUGAUCAUCAUUACAAACCCAAGGACGUUUGUAGCCAGUGACCCAUUUGGCUGCGGGGGAGAGCUGGCUGAAGGCUUGCCAACAUGGUCAAAUUCCCCUCGCCUGCUCCCUCUGAGCUGAAACUGGCCUGUUUUCAGGUCCCUAGGGGUAAGAGGGAAUCUUAGGAGCUCCAGAACUACAGAGAUAAAGUGGGCUUCUUGCCCAGCUUGGUAACAGCACAAUGGUCAGGGGAAUGGGGUAGCUUGGUAUCUGGAAAGCAACCAUGGCCACUGUCUCCACUCCUAAUCACCCCUCCAUGCUGUGGAUGAGCAAAGCUGGUGCUCAGAGAGGUGAAGUGGCUUGCCUGAGGUCACUUGGUUGUUUGGUAGCUGAGCUUAGAGUCUGGGUUGACCAAGCUCCUCUUAUGCAAAGCCUGGCCUUCCUCCCACGAUGGCAUGCCACUGCUCUGCCCAUUAACAUGACACUCUGAGCACCAUGCCAAGUGGCUAUUCCUUGACCCAAUGCCUCCAGCAAGAAGUGAGUGUCUAGAACUGGCAGAAAGCCCCACCAGUGCACAGAAAGGUCAUUUGGCCAAACCAGGCAUGGGAGACUCAAGCAGCCAGUGCUUCACGUGCUGGCUUGUGGUCUCAGGCGCAAGACCCCAAGCCCUGUAUCCUUGCCAACCUGCAUGCUACCCCUGAUGCAGCAGCUCAAGAUCCUGCUGUAAUCAAAAGAUGGUAAAGAGACAACCCUAGGAUGCUGUCACCUUCAGCAAUGGGAAGACAGGGACAGCUGCCUCUUGUCCACGUGCACCCCAGUGCUGGGCAUGCCACAGGGCACACAAUUCCCUCUGACCUGCUGCCCGUGGCCUUUCUCCUGCCCCAGUGGGGCUUUAGCACGACUGACCACUGCUUUCCUGCUCUCUGUGGCCAGGGAACUCACGUGGUGAAGCACUCUGGAGUUUGGCUUUGCAAAGAAGUGAAAUCUACAAUGCAAACAUCCAGAUCUCCAAACCCUGGUCAAAUGGCAGUGACUGAAGCUCAUACCCCACCUCCCAGCUAUGCAACCUUGGGGCAAGUCACUUCACCUCUCUAGGCUUCAACUUCCUCCUUGGAAAGACAGAAUGCCAACAUCCAUCCUGCCUCUUGCCAAGAUGUUUUAUAGACUGCAUGGUUUUAUAUCUUGUAAAACAUAAAAUACUGUGAUUCAGAAAGAGAUCACCUUUAAAAAAGUCCAAAAUCCCCCCCUCUUAGCUAGCACGAGCAGGCAUCCCUCCAGGUGGCCUUGACCUCCCCAAUAACCCUCCUGGCAGGAGUGUGGAAGAACAGAACAUGCAGGCUUCUGGCCACUGUCCUUAGAGCUUUCCAGGACAUGGGGAUCCCAGGGCAACCUGUGGCACUGCCAAUGGGCCCCGUCAAGAGGGGAGAGAGGGAUCUGCUAUCGCACACCAGUCUCAAAAUCCACCCACAGUUCACUUGCUUUACGGACAGUCCUUGGCAGACUUACUCUGAGUUUGGCCUUUGCUCAUUUCCCAUGGUGCUCCUGGGCCACUUCCCCACAAUCCGAUCCAAUAAAAACUCAGGGGAGGCAAACGAACUUUAGCCGGAGCCUGAGAGAUGCCCAGCUAAGAAGGGGAGUGUGGAGCUGGGGCUGAGACAGUUGGAUGAAACAAAACCAAUGAUAAUCAUGCACGGCAUAUUUCAGAGGGAAAUGAACUCGGGGAUUCUAUGAGCCAGAAGCUUCCAUCCGUCCCCUGGGAUUCCACAGCUCAGCUCCCAGGAUGGGAAGCCCUGCUGAGCGACUUUGCAGGCCAUCUGGGUGAACUGGGUCACCACAGCUACACCCCCACAAUGAGGCCAGGAUUCUAGGUCAGCACUGGAAACCCAGAGGAUGAGGUUAUGGAAUCUGAAAAGAUGCUGAGAGGGACGAGGGCGGCCGUCCCCCACUCCCACCGGAACAAUUACAGAAAACCCAACUGCUGAAGGGUGUAAUAUCACACAGCCACAGGAUAAGCUGGGGAGAGAAUGAGGAAGGGGCAAUUUCCCAACCCAAAUUCCCCGAGGUCCUGAAAAAUUAUACUCCCCAGAAAGUGUUUGCUUUACACUUCGCUGAAAUCUGUUAUGUAACAGUGGAGAAAAUGUGUGGGGUGAUCUUUUCCCUGUACUUCAGCCGGGGAGGGGGGUGAGAGACCUGUCAUUUCUACUGGGGACAAAGGCAGUGUCUGUGUGUUGGCGGCAGGCAGAGGAUCUCCAGGGCUGCCCACUCACAGGGCACCUGUGCAAAGGUACACCUGAGUCAGAGGAGGCAAGUCACCUCUGGCAGCUCCGCUGCGGGGCUCCGAGUAGGCAUGCAGUGACAGCUGUACCUAGAAUAAUACUCCUUGGCCCGGCACCCGUCUCUGCCCUUGCUCACUCCUGCCCUCCCAGAACCAGUGGGCCUUCUGCUGUUCCCUGCAUUCACCAAGGCCCACCUGUCCCCAGCUUUAACAACACCUCAAUGGUGUCUUUCCUGACCACACCCCUGCCCCCUCCCUGCUGCUGACCUCUCCACAGCGCCUGCUUGUUUCCUGACUUGUACUUGUCAACACCUAGAAUUACUUCCUUGGUUUACUUGUUACAUGUCUCUCUGCAAUAUUGGAGCCCCAUGAGGGCUUUGUUGGCCUCUGUCACUUCUGGAUCCCAGCCUGACACUUAGUCAGCUCAUACAGAUUUACUGAUGACCGACCGACCAGCCAUCGGAAGACUGGCUUCACAGGCCCCUUGGUGUUCAAACUUGGAAAAAUAACAUUUUGGAGAUGCUCAUGGGCUCAGUCAGUAGAAACCUGUUUGUCCUCCAAAGGGAAGGCGGCCAGGUAUUGCCCUGAGGCUACAACUGGGGUGAGCAGUGGUUGUCACUCUGGCACUUCUGUGGGAUUUCCAGGGCUGCAUGCCACACCGAGGCCACCACUGACCCAUAUAUUUUGCUGAGAAAUAACUACUCAAGGAAAAUGGCCUUGGAGGAGUUUGGGACACGAGAGGUCCACAGAGCCAGUAGGUCCACAGAGUCAGGCCACAGCAACUGGACACUAGGCCUGUCCAACCUGGGCAGGGUGACAGCGUGGUGGAGGGAGCACCCCCAUGCUCACUGCCCCACCUGCCUGCCUGGCAGCUGGCUCCACACAGGUGGCUGGCAGCACUUGGCGUUGACAAGCCCUUGGAUGCCUCCCUGACAAUAGGCACUGCGGAUCCAGCUGGAGGAAAGCACUAUUUGCAGAGCCGCCCAGCGCCUGCCACACCUGUGCCUGCCACCCUCCUCCCCACGCAGCCCGGAGGGCUUGCCUCAAGGCUCACCCUUCUCAGGGAGCUCUCCUGCUCACCAGCUUCCCGAGGCCCUACCCUCCCACCUCCUCCUGCCCAGCUCCCACUUUUCUUCUGCUUGGGGCACCUAGAUGCAUGGCUGCUUUGCAGUCGCAGCCCCACCACGCCCCGUACUCCUUGCUCUGCCUGUGUAAUCCCUUCAUUCUCCCAGCCCUGCUCAAUGCCUCCAGGAAGCCUUCUCAACUAUGCUUGUCUUCACCCCUGACACUUCAGCUCUGUACCAUGCAACAGGGCUACUGAGGGACCAUCAGCGUGGGGUUGUCAUGAAAGCCCCCAAUCCCAUGAGGCCACCAGUGGGACCCUGACUUCUGUCGCCAAUGCUUCUUCCUGCUGGACUCUGUUGAUUAGGCUGGGACAAGGAUAGCUGCCCAAGCAAGGACUCCAGGGGAGUGAGUCUGGCCACAGAAUGGGUUGUCUUGGCCUCACUGCCUGACAGUAAAGCCCCCUGCCGCUAUAGCCACCUCACAGACCCUCAGGACUGACAGUCCUCAGAUACCACCAAGUCAAUUCUAUGACUAGAUGGGGAAAUUGAGGCCACAAGAGAGAAACUGGCCCCCUGCAGGUCCCAGGGUCGAUCUGUGGCAGAGCCGCCCCAAUCAGUGGUCUUUCUAGUGGCUGUCACUUAUUGAGCACCCACUGUGUGUCAGGCCCUGCAUGAAGCACUAAAUUUCUUUUGUCUUUAUUAUUAUUAUUAUUAUUUGUAGAGACAGGGCCUCACUAUGUUGCCCGGGCUGGGCUUG
Molecule: long non-coding RNA, 7443 nt
Organism: Nomascus leucogenys (northern white-cheeked gibbon)
Lineage: Eukaryota; Metazoa; Chordata; Mammalia; Primates; Hylobatidae
Exons: 3
Source: RefSeq, a predicted model, not a curated record